CAGCCCCCACACCACUAGAGGGAUGUCUCCAACCACCAACUUACCGUCCUAAGACAAGGCCGAGUAUAGCCCACAACGAUCUCCGCCAUGGCACAACCCAAGGGGGGGGCGCCAACCCAGACAGGAAGACCACCAAUGAUUAUAUUCUGCAUUUGCGUAUGUGAUGAAUGACGAUAGCUGGCAAUCAACUGCAGUGAUGGAUUAUUACCACAUAUCAUGGAAUACCUGUGUGCACGUUUAUAAGGACACAUGGCAUGGAAUUAUUGGAUUUGGCUGGAUGGUUGACACAAUAGAAAGGUAGGGCAAUAUUUUUGGGCCUUUAAAUUCUUACAAUAAGAAGACUUAAUAGCCAACACAGGUAGGCUAAUGAUAGGCUAAUCCAGUGAGAUUGUGAACUUCAACCUUUUGAAAAUGUUAUUUAACAGCAAAUAGCCUAGCAUUAUGUGAAAUGCAUUUGGUAAACUGUAUAAAAGCCACAAUCCUUAAUUCACGUUUCAGAGAAAAGGAUGAGAGAGGUGAGAGGAGUGGGAGGUGAGUUGAGGGAAGUGGGUUUCAGGUAGGAUUCUGGGUCAUUAAGUAUUCAUUGGAUUUAAAUUAUGCUGGAGGAGAGAGAGGGUUGAGAAGAUUAGACUAUUGCUUAAAGUGGAGGAGGGGUGGGAUAACAGAAGAAAGAAAGAGUGGAGAGAAGGACAGGGACAGCAUACUAAGACACACACUUCAGAGUCUGGGCUAUAAUAGGGAGCACUCCUGUCAAUCUAGAAAAGUCACAAAGCCAACCCCCUGACACACACACACACACACACACACACACACACACACACACACACACACACACACACACACACACACACACACACAGAAAGAAAGAGAAAAAGAGAUAUGUAUAAUGUUAUUCUGAGCAGCACUCCAUUGGCCAUAAGGCUAACAUAAGACCAUGCAUGUGCCUAGUCUCUAAUGCCUGGAAUAAUAGCAGACGCACGCACACACAAACAGACACACACACAUAACAGGCUGCGCCUGUGUAUAUUUGGUCCCAAAGCCGCAGAAUAAUAGCAGUCAUUACCAAGAUGAUCUCUCUCUCACACACCGUCACAUUGUCCAGCAAGUUAUUCCGAAGCCAGUGUAUCUUAUUACCCAGCAGCCCCAACACUGCUCUAUUAUUCAGGGUGGGAGGGAGGGGGAGAGAGGGAAUGUUUUAUUCAGCUGAGUCUACUGGGGAAGGAGCUGCUCACUGUGCUACUUACAACAGGCCUAUGUAGGCCAAGGAGACAAACGAAUGUACCACACACACACACACACACACACACACACACACACACAACACUAAAUUAAAUAGUCAGAUGACAUUUACCAGAUCACAGUUACUCUGACACCUUGUCUCGUCUGUGUGUGUGUCCUUGGCAACCUCUCGUUAACACACAUACACAAGCGUGACAACGGGCGGUGGUGGCUGAGUAUGAGAGAAGUCAUGUUUGGUAAAAGCCUUAGUAAGUGUCCGUCAGCUUGUGUGUGUGGGUGUUUAAUAAGCUAUGUGAGCAUGUGUGGUUUGCUCUGUGGCAGCUUUGUGUUCGAGACCACCUAAAGCGAGAUCGAUUCAAGACCGGAGAAAAUCGAGUCCGAGUCAAAACCAAGACUGGUUGGGGGGCGAGACCUAGUCAAGACCGAGACCAGAAAAAUGCGAGUCCAAUUCAAGACCAUGAUUGUAAUUGUGUCAAAUCACCACAUAAGAGUUGAAAAUGUCCAGUAUUUCUGUGUUCAUAUUUCAGAACAACAUAUGGAUGCUUUAGACAUUCAGAAUAGUGAACAAAUGGAAAAUAGAGCCACUCUACAAAUGAUUACUAACUCAAACACAGUAGAAAACAAUGGGCCUUCUAUGCCUUCAGAGAAGGGCUAAGGAUUUAUAAAAUAAUGAUUAUAGUAAUGAUAACUGUAAAAUUAUUUUCAAUGACGUUCUGAUUUAAUGUCUAUAGUUUUUGUUGAAAAGAAAAGGGUUAACACUGCUGGACUCUGGGGAGAUAAAUCUAGCUAGCUAAGUCUGCCAUUGGCUAGGCCAUCAGAAGCUAGAUAAAGGCAUCUGUCAUUCAACUGUAUUAGGGCAACAUUUUGGAGUGACAGUGGAAUCAACCAAUCACAUUUUGAUUUAAUGGGUGGGACUGUUUUUACAAAAAGGUAUGGACACUUCUGCCUUCUUGAAGGCCAACAGGUCACUUGUGAGCAAUAGUGAGCAAUAGUGAGCAGUAGUUUUUCCACGGUUUAGCUAGCUAGCUUUUGUUGUUGGCUAGUUUGCAGCGGCUACAGCAGGUGUUAUCAAAGAGGAUAGCUUCUCCCUUUUCAAGAAUAACUUUCAACAAGAAUUUAUCAUCAUCUGGUGAGUGGAACUGUGUUUUUUAUUGCAGCGUGCUUGCUGUUGUUAGCCAUCUCUUUGAAAAUAACUUGUGUAUGAAACAUUGUUGCAUUUUAAGUGGAACUGAAAGCAUUUUAGCAAUAUGAAAUCUUAUUACAAUCUGUUCAUAUACACCCACAGGAAGAAUUACACUUUAAAAAAAAAAUUCUGACAAACGACCACUUAGAUAUGGUCAUUUUCACAUUUUCCUAAAUUCAUAGUGUUUGGGAAUUAAGUAUACUAAAGGCAUGUGAAAAUUCUAUAGAAAUAUAGAGUGGGAAAGCGGCUGUGCGUUUGGACAAUUAAUAAAUAAAUAAAACCAAAUAAAAACAUCUGUCUUGUCCAGUAAUGGAGUCUACACAGAACGUUGAGCUAUAGCCAAUCAGAGCUACAGUACUGUAGGCCUUUAUAUAAACAAGACGUUUGCCACAUGGGCCUGCCAUCAUUCACUUUGAACUGGACUGUGUGUUUACAGGUAGUUGGGCCUGCCGUCAUCCACUUUGAACUGGACUGUGUGUUUACAGGUAGUUGGGCCUGCCGUCAUCCACUUUGAACUGGACUGUGUGUUUACAGGUUCCUGCUACAGCACUGCCUCAUACGAUUCCCUUCAACGAGAAAGUUUGUCACGACUUCCGCCGGAGUAGGUACCUCUCCUUGUUCGAGCGGCGUUCGAGCGGCGUUCGGCGGUCGACGUCACCGGCCUUCUAGCCAUCACCGAUCCACUUUUAAUUUUCCAUUUGUUUUGUCUUUGGUUUUUACACACCUGGUUUCAAUUCCCCAAUUACAUGUUCAUUAUUUAACACUCUGUUUUCCCCCAUGUUUGUGUGCGUGUUUGUUUUAUUGUAAGGCUGUAUCUGACGGCUGGUAUAUUGUUACCGGGUUUUGUAUUUACGCCCAUAAUAUUGUGUUUAUACUGGUG
Molecule: long non-coding RNA, 3302 nt
Filed under: Salmo salar (Atlantic salmon)
Lineage: Eukaryota; Metazoa; Chordata; Actinopteri; Salmoniformes; Salmonidae
Description: lncRNA (ENSSSAG00000087324.1, ENSSSAG00000089625.1)
Source: RNAcentral